RNAcentral lists this ribosomal RNA (486 nucleotides) under uncultured bacterium. RNAcentral's name for it is "partial 16S ribosomal RNA". It matches the Rfam family "Bacterial small subunit ribosomal RNA", at positions 28 to 507 of the family's 1533-position model. The record is from RNAcentral.
GAUGAACGCUAGCGGCAGGCUUAAUACAUGCAAGUCGAGGGGCAGCAUGAAGUCGCAAUCCUUUGAUGGCGACCGGCAAACGGGUGCGGAACACGUACACAACCUUCCUUUAAGUGGGGAAUAGCCCAGAGAAAUUUGGAUUAAUACCCCGUAACACAACGAAGUGGCAUCACUUUGUUGUUAUAGUUUCGGCGCUUAAUGAUGGGUGUGCGUAUGAUUAGAUAGUUGGCGAGGUAACGGCUCACCAAGUCUACGAUCAUUAGCUGAUGUGAGAGCAUGAUCAGCCACACGGGCACUGAGACACGGGCCCGACUCCUACGGGAGGCAGCAGUAAGGAAUAUUGGUCAAUGGACGCAAGUCUGAACCAGCCAUGCCGCGUGAAGGAUUAAGGUCCUCUGGAUUGUAAACUUCUUUUAUAUGGGACGAAAAAAGGUCUUUCUAGACCCCUUGACGGUACCAUAUGAAUAAGCACCGGCUAACUCCGUG